This 498-nucleotide ribosomal RNA is filed under the name uncultured bacterium. Its description in RNAcentral is "partial 16S ribosomal RNA". It matches the Rfam family "Bacterial small subunit ribosomal RNA", at positions 28 to 507 of the family's 1533-position model. The record is from RNAcentral.
GACGAACGCUGGCGGCGUGCCUAAUACAUGCAAGUCGAGCGGACGAAUCGAAAGCUUGCUUUUGAUUCGUUAGCGGCGGACGGGUGAGUAAUACGUGGGCAACCUGCCCUGUAGACGGGGAUAACACCGAGAAAUCGGUGCUAAUACCGGAUAACACGAAAUGUCGCAUGACGUUUCGUUGAAAGACGGCGCAAGCUGUCGCUACAGGAUGGGCCCGCGGCGCAUUAGCUAGUUGGUGAGGUAACGGCUCACCAAGGCGACGAUGCGUAGCCGACCUGAGAGGGUGAUCGGCCACACUGGGACUGAGACACGGCCCAGACUCCUACGGGAGGCAGCAGUAGGGAAUCUUCCGCAAUGGACGAAAGUCUGACGGAGCAACGCCGCGUGAGCGAAGAAGGCCUUCGGGUCGUAAAGCUCUGUUGUUAGGGAAGAACAAGUAACGCAGUAACUGGCGUUACCGUGACGGUACCUAACGAGAAAGCCACGGCUAACUACGUG